Long non-coding RNA from Carassius auratus (goldfish), 2424 nucleotides. RefSeq lists it as uncharacterized. NCBI's taxonomy places the organism in Eukaryota, Metazoa, Chordata, Actinopteri, Cypriniformes, Cyprinidae. The record is from RefSeq and is a predicted model, not a curated record. The transcript has 4 exons.
CAGGAACUGCCGGAACUGCCGGAACUCUGCAUAGUUAAUAAGCUGUCAUUCCGACUUCAACUGAUACCGCCCAGCUCCGCUCAACCAGUCCUGAUCGCAGAGUUAAGGCCACCAGCUGAUGGUGGUCUUCAGGAUCACCACACACUUCGGACAGGUGCGUGAACUGGAGAUAAACUCUGCAGGAUGCUGGUCCUCCAGGACAUCACUGUUAUGCAGAUAAAGAGUCACUAGGAACAGGUCACUGCAUCUUUUGUAAUGUAGAUGCUGGGAUAAAAAGCAGCCAUGCUACAGCAUCUAAAAUGGAGACUUCUAUUAAAGUGGCUCUGUAACAUAAGAGACUUGGGACAGUGGAAGGAGCAGAAGAUCAGAGAUCAGGCAGAGCUCUACUGGUGCCCCUUAGAGGAUUGAUUUAUCUAUAAUUAUCUAUAAUAUCUACUUAAUGUUCUAAUGAAGUUAUAAUUGGUCAUUAUUCUGUUUUAUAAAUCUAUUCAAUAGAUUCUAGUGUUCAAUAGUUUGGGGUCAGAAAGUUUUUUUCUUUCUUUAAGAUAUUACUUGUAUUCAGCAAGGGUGCAUUAAACUGAUAAAAAGCAACAGUAAAAACGUUUACAUUGUUGGUCAAAAAUCCUAUAAAAAAUAAAUAAAUAAAUGCUGAUCUUUUAAAACCUCUAAAGUAACCUGAAAAAAAUAUAUUACUGUUUCCAAAAAUGAAGCAGCGCAACUGUUUUUGAGAUUCAAAAAAAAAAAAGUUUAUUGAGCACCAAAACCAGAAUAUUUUAAUAAUUUAUUUUGGAUUGUAUGACACAGAAGACGAGUAAUGGCUGGUGAAAAUUAAACAUCAUAGGUAAACAGAACUCAUUUCUCUAAAAAAAAAAAACAUUUUUUUAUGGUUAUUUAAAAUUGUAAUAUUUCAUAAUGUUACUGCUUUAACUGUAUUUCUUAUCAAAUAAAUGUUUUGGUGAGCAUAAGACACUUGUUUCAAAAACAUUUACAAAUCUUACCUAUCCUAAACUUUGAACAGUGUUUUUCUUCAUUUAUUACAUGGCCGUGAAUAAAUCAAAGUAUUUGAAAUGUAUGACUCUUUAAUUUAUUACUUCUACUAAUAAUUAUUCUGCAUGUGAUUUAAUAGUAAUAUUGCAGCAUUCUGCAGGUACAAAGUUUUAUUUGUUAAGGUCACAAAGGCCCUACACAGGUUAAUGUCCACAUUUCCCUCCAAAGUGUGGGCAUACUGUUGGGGCCCUAGGUCCACAUUUUCAGCUGGGACGCUACUUUGGAUGAAUAGAGGGCACACUUUUGGCCCACAGUAACUGUGCCCACACCCAGCCCACACUGUCCCCGCGCUCUCCCCACUGUGCCCACACCCAGCCCACACUGUCCCCACACUCUCCCCACUGUGCCGACACCCAGCCCACACUGUGUACAUACCUGUGGUCAUGUUAUGGGCACACAAUUGGUCCUAUUGGGGGCCCACUCAGAUUUGUGUGGGUCAGCCCACACUCAACCCACACUUUUGGGCUGUCCCACUCAGGCCCCACACGGGCCCCGCAGUGUGGGGCCCACACUCAACCCACACUUUUGGGCUGUCCCACUCGGGCCCAAAAGGGGGAUGUUUGCUGGGUAAGUAAGUACAUGUUUCCUUAACGCAAUAUUAUGUUUACAUUGUUUUUAGUUUAUCUUUGUUAAAUCUGUAGUCAUCUUUGUUCUUGCCUUACUAGUCAAGCUAAAGUAAGGCUAAAGUAAGUUAGCCUUGUUUACAAAGUUGCCGCCAUGUUACAAUUAACUUUCUGUAAUAGCUACUUUGUUUCUUCCAGGUGUAUAGUUUUUCUUUUUUUCUAAGAUACGUAUGUUUAUACGAGUGUGAGUACGUAUGUGUUUUAAGUUAGUUUUGGUCAGUCGAAUUAACUACGUAAACAGUUACUUGUAUGGACAAUUAUGCCGCCGCCCAUGUGGUAAUGUGGUUCCAGCAGUAGGUAGCAAAAUCUACGACAAGACUGAUCAGUAUAACUUGUGUUGUUUUCUAACUAAACCGAAUGAUGAUACCAGUAACGUUAAAUUGUUUUCAUUUGUUUGUUCCGACACGCACGCUAACGUACUAGUCUAGUUCAGAGUGUUAGCUAACACAUGCUGUUUUGCCUUUUUUACACUGUUCAAGCAUGUUGAAACGUGUCUAGCUUCAGUACGUAGCCAAAGCUUUACAUCUAGUGUUUUCUUACUGUUGUAUCCUGAAUGCUUAUAUAAGGAAGACAGACAGCGGGGUAGCGUUUAGCAAAAAGCUUUACUUCAUGCUUGCAUGAACAAACACAGAGCAUAACAGGAUGGCCAACUCUUCUUCAGCUAUCUCUACACAUCCCAUUUUAACUACUGCACUGCUGUUGCCACCUAGGGGAAAAUUCUAAUAUAACAAUAAAACUUUCCCCAUAUACCACA